AGCUAGCUACCUAAUUUACCGGUUGCGCAGUCCCAAUUCCACCUUCUCCUCCAGCUGGUCCACAUUAAUGGUCUCUCAGCUCCCUUCUUCUUAGCAGUCGACUUGAUGUCGGACCACUUCUUUUUUUAAGGCGUCACUGUCCUUUGCCAUAACCCCGACAGCAUUGACAGACUCGGCCACUCGCCCAUCCUCUCUCUUUUUUUUGUCUGCAUUGACCCCGCAGUUAUCAAGUCUCCCCAACAGCAACCUUUUCCUGGCUGCUAUUUCCUCCACCAUCACUCCAAGCUCUUGUUUGCUGAAAAUUUUAUUUUGAUGUACAGUAGCUAACGCUAGUCUUCCUAUAAUGUGUGAAAAAUAACGUUUUUUGUAUGCGUGUAUAAAGGGUUCGCGAGCUGGAGACAUAAAGCAAAAAAAAAUCUGGAGAUAUAAAGCAAAAAAAAAGUAAUUAAAUGUAAACAUCAACACUUAUAGUGGGCCAAAUCCUAUCAUUCAUGUCACAUAGGCUUAUUUAUUAGUUUCAAGCACGUCACUAAUGUCAAUGCCACAUAAGACGAUAUUUACGAAGUUCUUAAGAAAUAUAUUUACGAAGUUUCUAAGAAAACGACGAAUUCCCAAGAACAUCGAGGAAUCGCAUUUACGAACUAUCUUAUGAACUUCUUAUUUUUUUUGUUUUCAGCAGCUUCUUAAUUUUUUUCGUAAGUAAUGUUUUGUGAAUCCGGCCCCUGGUCCAUAAAGGUGUUGCUGGAAAGAGUAGAUUGAGAACCUUACCUCCGUAUUAUUGGCAAACGAGAGAUGUCCGUUUCCACUAACACCUGGUGCCAGGCAGCCCAUCACCACAGAGGCCACAAAGAGAAGUCCUCUGUCCAUUCCUACAUGGGAACAUGGAGGCAGGGCGUGGAUUACCGGUAAAGGUGUGUUACCACGCAAUGGAAUAAUACUGUAUUUAAGUCCCCUGCUAUUCCCUGAUUUUAAGAGGUGAUGACCAGUCCACUCUACUACCAUUGUCAACUCUGUCCUGACAUGAACUGAAGCAACGUCUCAUGUGCCCGCUAAUCCACUGGCACGUUGCAUGUUUCCUCUCCAAGCACUGCAAAUCCUGCAUUGAAGUCAAGCCUGUGAACAACUCAACUCAUGCCUCAUACCCUCAUUCAAUCAUUGCUGUGAUCCCUUCCAAACACUGUGUAGCUAGCCCUCUCAUUCCCAAUCCCCAUAAUAUUGUACUAUACAUAUUUUUAUUAAAUGCUUUAGGU
Oncorhynchus mykiss (rainbow trout) is the source of this 1250-nucleotide non-coding RNA. The record is from RefSeq and is a predicted model, not a curated record. Lineage: Eukaryota; Metazoa; Chordata; Actinopteri; Salmoniformes; Salmonidae.